GACGAACGCUGGCGGCGUGCUUAACACAUGCAAGUCGAACGGAAAGGCCCCGCUUUUGUGGGGUGCUCGAGUGGCGAACGGGUGAGUAACACGUGAGUAACCUGCCCUUGACUUUGGGAUAACUUCAGGAAACUGGGGCUAAUACCGGAUAGGAGCUCCUGCUGCAUGGUGGGGGUUGGAAAGUUUCGGCGGUUGGGGAUGGACUCGCGGCUUAUCAGCUUGUUGGUGGGGUAGUGGCUUACCUAGGCUUUGACGGGUAGCCGGCCUGAGAGGGUGACCGGCCACAUUGGGACUGAGAUACGGCCCAGACUCCUACGGGAGGCAGCAGUGGGGAAUAUUGCACAAUGGGCGGAAGCCUGAUGCAGCAACGCCGCGUGCGGGAUGACGGCCUUCGGGUUGUAAACCGCUUUCGCCUGUGACGAAGCGUGAGUGACGGUAAUGGGUAAAGAAGCACCGGCUAACUACGUG
Molecule: ribosomal RNA, 468 nt
Filed under: uncultured bacterium
Lineage: Bacteria
Description: partial 16S ribosomal RNA
Rfam family: Bacterial small subunit ribosomal RNA
Source: RNAcentral